This 828-nucleotide ribosomal RNA is filed under the name Diversimediispora humicola. RNAcentral describes it as "partial 28S ribosomal RNA". It matches the Rfam family "Eukaryotic large subunit ribosomal RNA", at positions 69 to 922 of the family's 3401-position model. Lineage: Eukaryota; Fungi; Ascomycota; Sordariomycetes; Amphisphaeriales; Sporocadaceae. The record is from RNAcentral.
CAGGGAUUGCCUUAGUAACGGCGAGUGAAGCGGCAAUAGCUCAAAUUUGAAAUCUGGCGCUUGCGUCCGAGUUGUAAUUUGCAGAGGAUGAUUUUGGUUAGGUACCUUCCGAGUUCCUUGGAACAGGACGCCUUAGAGGGUGAGAGCCCCGUACGGUUGGAUGCCGAGCCUUUGUAAAUCUCCUUCGACGAGUCGAGUAGUUUGGGAAUGCUGCUCUAAAUGGGAGGUAAAUUUCUUCUAAAGCUAAAUACCGGCCAGAGACCGAUAGCGCACAAGUAGAGUGAUCGAAAGAUGAAAAGCACUUUGAAAAGAGGGUUAAAUAGCACGUGAAAUUGUUGAAAGGGAAGGAUUUAUGACCAGACUUUUUCUAGGAGGAUCAUCCGGUGUUCUCACCGGUGCACUUCUUCUAGUUUAGGCCAGCAUCGACUUUCGGCGGCGGAUAAAAGCUUUGGGAAUGUGGCUCCUCUCGGGGAGUGUUAUAGCCCAUUGUAUAAUACGCUGCUGGGGGUCGAGGUACGCGCUUCUGCAAGGAUGCUGGCGUAAUGGUUAUCAAUCACCCGUCUUGAAACACGGACCAAGGAGUCGAACAUUUAUGCGAGUGUUUGGGUGUUAAACCCUCACGCGUAAUGAAAGUGAACGGAGGUGAGAGCCCUUACGGGUGCAUCAUCGACCGAUCCUGAUGUCUUCGGAUGGAUUUGAGUAAGAGCAUAACUGUUCGGACCCGAAAGAUGGUGAACUAUGCGUGGAUAGGGUGAAGCCAGAGGAAACUCUGGUGGAGGCUCGCAGCGGUUCUGACGUGCAAAUCGAUCGUCAAAUCUGCGCAUGGGG